Molecule: long non-coding RNA, 473 nt
Organism: Serinus canaria (Common canary)
Lineage: Eukaryota; Metazoa; Chordata; Aves; Passeriformes; Fringillidae
Exons: 3
Source: RefSeq, a predicted model, not a curated record
AUUGGGACAUCUGGGAUAUUGGGGACAUUGGGGACAUUGUGGGGACAUGGGGCAGGUUCAUCUCGUCACCGUCAAAGUCGGCGUUGUAGGGCGUGGUGACACUGAGGGGACAUUGGGACAUCUGGGAUAUUGGGGACAUUGGGGACAUUGUGGGGACAUGGGGCAGGUUCAUCUCGUCGCCGUCAAAGUCGGCGUUGUAGGGCGUGGUGACACUGUGGGGACAUCGGGGACAUCUGGGAUAUUGGGGACAUUGGGGACAUCUGAAACAUUGUGGGGACAUGGGGCAGGUUCAUCUCGUCACCGUCAAAGUCGGCGUUGUAGGGCGUGGUGACACUGAGGGGACAUCAGGGACCUCAGGGACAUUGGGACAUUUGGGACAUUGGAGACAUUGGGGACAUGGUGGGGACAUGGCAGGGACAUGGGGCAGGUUCAUCUCGUCACCGUCAAAGUCGGCGUUGUAGGGCGUGGUGACA